This 637-nucleotide ribosomal RNA is filed under the name uncultured bacterium. RNAcentral's name for it is "bacterial SSU rRNA". It matches the Rfam family "Bacterial small subunit ribosomal RNA", at positions 607 to 1244 of the family's 1533-position model. The record is from RNAcentral.
GCUUAACCGAAGAAGUGCAUCGGAAACUGGGUGACUUGAGUGCAGAAGAGGACAGUGGAACUCCAUGUGUAGCGGUGGAAUGCGUAGAUAUAUGGAAGAACACCAGUGGCGAAGGCGGCUGUCUGGUCUGCAACUGACGCUGAGGCUCGAAAGCAUGGGUAGCGAACAGGAUUAGAUACCCUGGUAGUCCAUGCCGUAAACGAUGAGUGCUAGGUGUUGGAGGGUUUCCGCCCUUCAGUGCCGGAGCUAACGCAUUAAGCACUCCGCCUGGGGAGUACGACCGCAAGGUUGAAACUCAAAGGAAUUGACGGGGGCCCGCACAAGCGGUGGAGCAUGUGGUUUAAUUCGAAGCUACGCGAAGAACCUUACCAGGUCUUGACAUCUUGCGCUAACCUAAGAGAUUAGGCGUUCCCUUCGGGGACGCAAUGACAGGUGGUGCAUGGUCGUCGUCAGCUCGUGUCGUGAGAUGUUGGGUUAAGUCCCGCAACGAGCGCAACCCUUGUUACUAGUUGCCAGCAUUCAGUUGGGCACUCUAGUGAGACUGCCGGUGACAAACCGGAGGAAGGUGGGGACGACGUCAGAUCAUCAUGCCCCUUAUGACCUGCGCUACACACGUGCUACAAUGGUCGGUACAACG